GUGCGAAGGUAGCAUAAUCACUUGUUCUUUAAAUGAGGACUCGUAUCAACGGCACUACGAGGGCUAUACUGUCUCCUUUUUCCAAUCAGUGAAACUGAUCUCCCCGUGAAGAAGCGGGGAUCAAAAUAUAAGACGAGAAGACCCCAUGGAGCUUUAAACUCACCACGCACCUCUGUGCCCCCACACCCUCAAACACAAGAGAUCUGCAUGCUAGUUUUAGGUUGGGGGGACCACGGAGUAUAAUUCAACCUCCAUAACAAAUGGGCUAACACCCUUAUCCACGAGACACAACUCUAAGAAUUACUAAACUAAUGCUUAUGACCCGAUAUUCGAUCAAUGAACCAAGUUACCCUGGGGAUAACAGCGCAAUCUACUUCAAGAGCCCAUAUCGACAAGUAGGUUUACGACCUCGAUGUUGGAUCAGGGUAU
This 429-nucleotide ribosomal RNA is filed under the name Rana pyrenaica. Its description in RNAcentral is "partial 16S ribosomal RNA". It matches the Rfam family "Bacterial large subunit ribosomal RNA", at positions 1948 to 2545 of the family's 2925-position model. The record is from RNAcentral. Lineage: Eukaryota; Metazoa; Chordata; Amphibia; Anura; Ranidae.